UCCCUGGUGGCUCAGAUGGUAAAGCAUCUGCCUACAAUGCGGGAGACCUGGGUUCGAUUCCUGGGUCGGGAA
Molecule: transfer RNA, 72 nt
Filed under: Bos taurus (domestic cattle)
Lineage: Eukaryota; Metazoa; Chordata; Mammalia; Artiodactyla; Bovidae
Also listed under: 5 other names
Rfam family: tRNA
About the family: Transfer RNA (tRNA) molecules are approximately 80 nucleotides in length. Their secondary structure includes four short double-helical elements and three loops (D, anti-codon, and T loops).
Source: Rfam by way of RNAcentral